RNAcentral lists this ribosomal RNA (401 nucleotides) under uncultured bacterium. RNAcentral describes it as "bacterial SSU rRNA". It matches the Rfam family "Bacterial small subunit ribosomal RNA", at positions 975 to 1375 of the family's 1533-position model. The record is from RNAcentral.
CAGGUCUUGACAUCUGAAUGUAACACCUAGGGAUAGGUGCCCUCUUCGGAGCAUUCAAGACAGGUGGUGCAUGGUUGUCGUCAGCUCGUGUCGUGAGAUGUUGGGUUAAGUCCCGUAACGAGCGCAACCCUUGUCCUUAGUUACCAGCACGUAAUGGUGGGCACUCUAAGGAGACUGCCGGUGACAAACCGGAGGAAGGUGGGGAUGACGUCAAGUCCUCAUGGCCCUUAUGGGUAGGGCUUCACACGUCAUACAAUGGUACAUACAGAGGGUCGCCAACCCGCGAGGGGGAGCUAAUCCCAGAAAGUGUAUCGUAGUCCGGAUUGUAGUCUGCAACUCGACUACAUGAAGUUGGAAUCGCUAGUAAUCGCGGAUCAGCAUGUCGCGGUGAAUACGUUCCC